RNAcentral lists this ribosomal RNA (254 nucleotides) under uncultured prokaryote. Its description in RNAcentral is "partial 16S ribosomal RNA". It matches the Rfam family "Bacterial small subunit ribosomal RNA", at positions 524 to 776 of the family's 1533-position model. The record is from RNAcentral.
UACGAAGGGGGCUAGCGUUGCUCGGAAUCACUGGGCGUAAAGCGCACGUAGGCGGGUUGUUAAGUCAGGGGUGAAAUCCUGGAGCUCAACUCCAGAACUGCCUUUGAUACUGGCAAUCUUUGAGUCCGGGAGAGGUGGGUGGAACUGCGAGUGUAGAGGUGAAAUUCGUAGAUAUUCGCAAGAACACCAGUGGCGAAGGCGGCUCACUGGCCCGGUACUGACACUCAGGGACGAAAGCGUGGGUAGCGAACCGG